UGAAGGUCAGGCUGAAGACCUUACCGGAUUAGUUGAGAGGUGGUGCAUGGCCGUCGUCAGUUCGUACUGUGAAGCAUCCUGUUAAGUCAGGCAACGAGCGAGACCCACGUCCACAGUUGCCAGCAUACCCUCCGGGGUGAUGGGUACACUGUGGAGACCGCCGCUGCUAAAGCGGAGGAAGGAAUGGGCAACGGUAGGUCAGUAUGCCCCGAAUCUCCCGGGCUACACGCGGGCUACAAUGGUUGGUACAAUGGGCAUCUACCCCGAAAGGGGAAGGAAAUCUCUUAAAGCCAAUCGUAGUUCGGAUUGAGGGCUGCAACUCGCCCUCAUGAAGCUGGAAUCCGUAGUAAUCGCGUUUCAACAGAACGCGGUGAAUACGUCCCUGCUCCUU
This 391-nucleotide ribosomal RNA is filed under the name uncultured Methanosaeta sp. RNAcentral's name for it is "bacterial SSU rRNA". It matches the Rfam family "Archaeal small subunit ribosomal RNA", at positions 948 to 1338 of the family's 1478-position model. The record is from RNAcentral. Lineage: Archaea; Methanobacteriati; Methanobacteriota; Methanomicrobia; Methanotrichales; Methanotrichaceae.